RNAcentral lists this ribosomal RNA (685 nucleotides) under Staphylococcus aureus. RNAcentral's name for it is "partial 23S ribosomal RNA". It matches the Rfam family "Bacterial large subunit ribosomal RNA", at positions 1525 to 2207 of the family's 2925-position model. Lineage: Bacteria; Bacillati; Bacillota; Bacilli; Caryophanales; Staphylococcaceae. The record is from RNAcentral.
CUGAGUAUUAGGCAAAUCCGGUACUCGUUAAGGCUGAGCUGUGAUGGGGAGAAGACAUUGAGUCUUCGAGUCGUUGAUUUCACACUGCCGAGAAAAGCCUCUAGAUAGAAAAUAGGUGCCCGUACCGCAAACCGACACAGGUAGUCAAGAUGAGAAUUCUAAGGUGAGCGAGCGAACUCUCGUUAAGGAACUCGGCAAAAUGACCCCGUAACUUCGGGAGAAGGGGUGCUCUUUAGGGUUAACGCCCAGAAGAGCCGCAGUGAAUAGGCCCAAGCGACUGUUUAUCAAAAACACAGGUCUCUGCUAAACCGUAAGGUGAUGUAUAGGGGCUGACGCCUGCCCGGUGCUGGAAGGUUAAGAGGAGUGGUUAGCUUCUGCGAAGCUACGAAUCGAAGCCCCAGUAAACGGCGGCCGUAACUAUAACGGUCCUAAGGUAGCGAAAUUCCUUGUCGGGUAAGUUCCGACCCGCACGAAAGGCGUAACGAUUUGGGCACUGUCUCAACGAGAGACUCGGUGAAAUCAUAGUACCUGUGAAGAUGCAGGUUACCCGCGACAGGACGGAAAGACCCCGUGGAGCUUUACUGUAGCCUGAUAUUGAAAUUCGGCACAGCUUGUACAGGAUAGGUAGGAGCCUUUGAAACGUGAGCGCUAGCUUACGUGGAGGCGCUGGUGGGAUACUACCCUA